Molecule: ribosomal RNA, 164 nt
Filed under: Haniffia albiflora
Lineage: Eukaryota; Viridiplantae; Streptophyta; Magnoliopsida; Zingiberales; Zingiberaceae
Description: 5.8S ribosomal RNA
Rfam family: 5.8S ribosomal RNA
About the family: 5.8S ribosomal RNA (5.8S rRNA) is a component of the large subunit of the eukaryotic ribosome. It is transcribed by RNA polymerase I as part of the 45S precursor that also contains 18S and 28S rRNA.
Source: RNAcentral
CAAAUGACUCCCGGCAAUGGAUAUCUCGGCUCUUGCAUCGAUGAAGAACGUAGUGAAAUGCGAUACUUGGUGUGAAUUGCAGAAUCUCGUGAACCAUUGAGUCUUUGAACGCAAGUUGUGCCCGAGGCCUUGUGGCCGAGGGCACGCCUGCUUGGGCGUCAUGG